UACGGAGGGGGGCUAGCGUUGUUCGGAAUUACUGGGCGUAAAGCGCACGUAGGCGGCUUUGUAAGUUAGAGGUGAAAGCCUGGAGCUCAACUCCAGAACUGCCUUUAAGACUGCAUCGCUUGAAUCCAGGAGAGGUGAGUGGAAUUCCGAGUGUAGAGGCGAAAUUCGUAGAUAUUCGGAAGAACACCAGUGGCGAAGGCGGCUCACUGGACUGGUAUUGACGCUGAGGUGCGAAAGCGUGGGGAGCAAACAGG
RNAcentral lists this ribosomal RNA (254 nucleotides) under uncultured bacterium. RNAcentral's name for it is "partial 16S ribosomal RNA". It matches the Rfam family "Bacterial small subunit ribosomal RNA", at positions 524 to 776 of the family's 1533-position model. The record is from RNAcentral.